GGCUGGUCCGAUAGUAGUGGGUUAUCAGAACUUAUCAACGUUAGGGUCACUAAAGUUGGUAUACAACCCCCCACUGCUAAAUUUGGUUUUAA
Pan troglodytes (chimpanzee) is the source of this 92-nucleotide non-coding RNA. It matches the Rfam family "Y RNA". Rfam says of the family: Y RNAs are components of the Ro ribonucleoprotein particle (Ro RNP), in association with Ro60 and La proteins. The Y RNAs and Ro60 and La proteins are well conserved, but the function of the Ro RNP is not known. The record is from Rfam. Lineage: Eukaryota; Metazoa; Chordata; Mammalia; Primates; Hominidae.